CAGAAGGUAGUUUAAUGUAAAAUGCCAGCUUUGGGAGUUGGUGAUAGGGGUUUAAGCCCCCUUUUUCUGA
RNAcentral lists this transfer RNA (70 nucleotides) under Psittacula eupatria (Alexandrine parakeet). RNAcentral's name for it is "tRNA-Pro". It matches the Rfam family "tRNA". Rfam says of the family: Transfer RNA (tRNA) molecules are approximately 80 nucleotides in length. Their secondary structure includes four short double-helical elements and three loops (D, anti-codon, and T loops). Further hydrogen bonds mediate the characteristic L-shaped molecular structure. tRNAs have two regions of fundamental functional importance: the anti-codon, which is responsible for specific mRNA codon recognition, and the 3' end, to which the tRNAs corresponding amino acid is attached (by aminoacyl-tRNA synthetases). tRNAs cope with the degeneracy of the genetic code in two manners: having more than one tRNA (with a specific anti-codon) for a particular amino acid; and 'wobble' base-pairing, i.e. permitting non-standard base-pairing at the 3rd anti-codon position. Lineage: Eukaryota; Metazoa; Chordata; Aves; Psittaciformes; Psittacidae. The record is from RNAcentral.